UACGGAGGGUGCAAGCGUUAAUCGGAAUUACUGGGCGUAAAGGGCGCGUAGGCGGUUAUUUAAGUCAGAUGUGAAAGACCUGGGCUCAACCUGGGAACUGCAUUUGAUACUGGAUAACUAGAGUGCAGAAGAGGGAGGUGGAAUUUCCUGUGUAGCGGUGAAAUGCGUAGAUAUAGGAAGGAACAUCAGUGGCGAAGGCGGCCUCCUGGACUGACACUGACGCUGAGGUGCGAAAGCGCGGGUAGCAAACAGG
RNAcentral lists this ribosomal RNA (253 nucleotides) under uncultured bacterium. RNAcentral describes it as "partial 16S ribosomal RNA". It matches the Rfam family "Bacterial small subunit ribosomal RNA", at positions 524 to 776 of the family's 1533-position model. The record is from RNAcentral.